UCUUGCACAAUGGGGGAAACCCUGAUGCAGCGACGCCGCGUGAGCGAUGAAGCCCUUCGGGGUGUAAAGCUCUUUCGGCAGGGAAGAUGAUGACGGUACCUGCAGAAGCAGCUGCGGCUAACUACGUGCCAGCAGCCGCGGUAAUACGUAGGCAGCAAGCGUUGUUCGGAGUUACUGGGCGUAAAGGGUGUGUAGGCGGUUCUUUAAGUUUGGUGUGAAAUCUCCCGGCGCAACUGGGAGGGUGCGCCGAAUACUGAGGGACGCGAGUGCGGGAGAGGAAAGUGGAAUUCCUGGUGUAGCGGUGAAAUGCGUGGAUAUCAGGAGGAACACCGGUGGUGUAAACGGCUUUCUGAACCGUAACUGACGCUGAGACACGAAAGCGUGGGUAGCAAACA
RNAcentral lists this ribosomal RNA (395 nucleotides) under uncultured bacterium. Its description in RNAcentral is "bacterial SSU rRNA". It matches the Rfam family "Bacterial small subunit ribosomal RNA", at positions 362 to 774 of the family's 1533-position model. The record is from RNAcentral.